AUACGGAGGAUCCGAGCGUUAUCCGGAUUUAUUGGGUUUAAAGGGUGCGCAGGCGGCCAUUUAAGUCAGCGGUUAAAUCGUGGGGCUCAACCCCAUUCUGCCGUUGAUACUGGGUGGCUUGAUUGCGGUCGAGGUUGGCGGAAUUCGUUGUGUAGCGGUGAAAUGCAUAGAUAUGACGAAGAACACCGAUUGCGUAGGCAGCUGACCAGACCGCAAAUGACGCUCAUGCUCGAAAGUGCGGGGAUCGAACAGGAUUAGAUACCCUGGUAGUCCGCACAGUAAACGAUGAAUACUUGUUUUCGGCGAUAUAAUGUCGGAGGCAAAGCGAAAGCGAUAAGUAUUCCACCUGGGGAGUACGCCGGCAACGGUGAAACUUAAAGGAAUUGACGGGG
RNAcentral lists this ribosomal RNA (392 nucleotides) under uncultured bacterium. RNAcentral describes it as "partial 16S ribosomal RNA". It matches the Rfam family "Bacterial small subunit ribosomal RNA", at positions 523 to 918 of the family's 1533-position model. The record is from RNAcentral.